Molecule: ribosomal RNA, 509 nt
Filed under: Escherichia coli
Lineage: Bacteria; Pseudomonadati; Pseudomonadota; Gammaproteobacteria; Enterobacterales; Enterobacteriaceae
Description: partial 16S ribosomal RNA
Rfam family: Bacterial small subunit ribosomal RNA
Source: RNAcentral
GAUCCCUAGCUGGUCUGAGAGGAUGACCAGCCACACUGGAACUGAGACACGGUCCAGACUCCUACGGGAGGCAGCAGUGGGGAAUAUUGCACAAUGGGCGCAAGCCUGAUGCAGCCAUGCCGCGUGUAUGAAGAAGGCCUUCGGGUUGUAAAGUACUUUCAGCGGGGAGGAAGGGAGUAAAGUUAAUACCUUUGCUCAUUGACGUUACCCGCAGAAGAAGCACCGGCUAACUCCGUGCCAGCAGCCGCGGUAAUACGGAGGGUGCAAGCGUUAAUCGGAAUUACUGGGCGUAAAGCGCACGCAGGCGGUUUGUUAAGUCAGAUGUGAAAUCCCCGGGCUCAACCUGGGAACUGCAUCUGAUACUGGCAAGCUUGAGUCUCGUAGAGGGGGGUAGAAUUCCAGGUGUAGCGGUGAAAUGCGUAGAGAUCUGGAGGAAUACCGGUGGCGAAGGCGGCCCCCUGGACGAAGACUGACGCUCAGGUGCGAAAGCGUGGGGAGCAAACAGGAUU